Amphimedon queenslandica is the source of this 494-nucleotide long non-coding RNA. RefSeq lists it as uncharacterized. The transcript is spliced from 3 exons. The record is from RefSeq and is a predicted model, not a curated record. Lineage: Eukaryota; Metazoa; Porifera; Demospongiae; Haplosclerida; Niphatidae.
UUCGGACGUCCUCCAUUACUGCUCAGUCAGCAGACUGGCGGUGGGCUCCUGGGUGGUCCUGCAACCUCAAAAGGUAUUGCUGUUCCUCAGCGUAUCAGUUCAUCAGUUUCCUCGUCCCAGACCACGCCCCCUCACUCUGAGGGCGUGUCCAGUAUCAUAGCAUCAUCCUCAUCUCCUGUCGGAGGGAAGGCGGGGACUAAUGUUGAGACCACACCCCCUACCAUACCAUCAGUCAGUAGUAUUGAUACUUCAACUCCUAGCUCUACCAUCUCUCCAUUACAGUAUUCAGUAUCAGCAGUGGAUUCCUCCAGCAGUCGUCCGUCAGUUAAUGAUACUAGUGCUCCAGUACCACCCCAUGAGGUCACUAGCACUACCAACGACUCAUCACGUGAUAAUGAGGAGACUGAGGAACCAGCUGCUGGGAAUAAGAACCCAACCAGUCAACAGACUGGAGGAGGAGGAGGAGGAGGGCAGAGGAAGAAACAAUCAGGAAA